AUCUCUUGCUAGAAAUUCCUGCCUACCUGAGGCCUUCCAAAGAGUCACUCUCAGAUGUGGAAGGCAAAGAGAUGGAUACGGUGAAUUCCAGUUCAUGUGGCACAGUGAAGCAACCUGCCAUUCAGUAGCAGACAGUGAGAUGCUCUCUUCUCUCACCAAUGGGAACAUCAGCCUGGGGUUACUGCUCCCUGGAAGCAGGAGGAGGAUUAACGAAUUAAAGAAUGGGAAAUGUCCCCAAAAGGCAAAAAUCCUUCUUUGGCUUUUCACAUCAGUAUCCCCAAAAUGUUUUUGGAGCCAUAACUUACCAUACAUACAAUAACGGAAUAAUAUAAUAGGAACCUCUGCCAUCAGAAGAAAAACAGUGAAAACACAAGAGAAGGGAGUUAAGAAGCUCUGGAUACAAGAUUUUUGUUAACCCUACUCGGUUGCUGUAACAAGCUAGAGCCCUGAAUGUGGACCAUCACCUUCCUGCUGGAAAGGCCCAGGGAAUCAGGGAAUCCAAAGGAGUUGAAACCAUUUGUGUUGUUAAAAGCUCACGCCUCUGGACAUUAUGUAUAAUGCUGUAGAUGCAAAGUAGCAAGGCAUUUGCAAGGAGUUUCAUAUAACAUACAUGGAAUUAUUUGUAUUUUUUUCAUUCUGUCUUGCAAACCCUUUUCCUAGUACUUAGAAGCAAACUGCAUGGAUGUGUACACAUUUGCACCAUGUGUGAAGGUGAAUUAAUUACAGUGCAGACUGCUUGAGAUGAGAGUGAUUAUGGCAGAGGAAAUGCGCACCAUCUCUUCACUCGUGGGGAAAUUUGAAUCAGGCGGCCGUAACGAAAAAUCUUCUGGAGCUUCCAUUGAACUUGAAGAUUGAAGUGAGAACUUCUGUUUUUCUGGAAAGAGCAGAGGCUAAGUCUUUUGAGGUUUGAUAAUGGGCAAAGACAAUGAUUAGAAAGGCCUUGUUCCUCUCAUAUUUGAUAACAGAUCCCUCUGGUUCAAGGUGGUCAAGCUUCAGUAUUGCUGCUGCCUACCACUGUUCUCUCUCCUCUUCCAAACCAUGAGCUGAUGGAUUGGAUGCUGUGGAGCAAGGCAAAUGGAAGCCUUUAUAAAGAAACAGCAGGGGCUGGACACUUAUGGAUGAGGUGUAUUGAGAAUUACAUCUAGUCUGAUGAGUGCAUGACAGCCUUGACUGACCUAUACUGGUGAUGGUCCUGCUUUGAGUGGGAGAUUGGACGAAAUGACCUCUGGGAAUCCCUUAAAACCAGCACAGCUCCUGUCCAGGAGUCCUGAACUGGUAGAAGCAUGUGUUGUCUACAUCUACAAUAAGGUACAACUCCCCUAAAAUUAUGCUGAGUUUGGUGCUCUCUUACUCUUUCCCUAUCGCUAAAACUACCUUAGGACAGUUUAUGUCCUAAUGCUCAGUCAGGUGGGAAGGCUUUCCCUAGGUCUGUCCUUCAGCCUCCAGAAAUGUCUACAGAGGAAGUGGCAGUGGAGAAAAGCUUGAAUUUUACAAUUGCUUCUUUAGAAAAAUAAAGGCUGCAAUCUCAAACCCGUGCCUGUACGUGCUGUCAGGUGACUGUGAAAGGACAGACAUUUUUUGGAACUCCGGUUACAACUCUGAUUUCUUUUGCCAGAAAAACAGUAGUGGUAACAUUUGAUUUGCAAAUCUGGCACACAGGCACCAGCCCAGUUGAAAACAAUCAACAGAAGCCAUUUCCUCGGUGCAAGUAAAUAUAUUGACAUGUGUUGACAAUAAACUGAUUUUGUGUACUUUUGGAAAGGCAGAGAGCAUCCCAUAUUUUAACUGCUUAGCUCCUCUGAAAGACUAUAUGGGAAAAUAUCUUUCGCAGGCUAUAGAAGGCUGUUCAUCUUUCAUAUCUCCGGAGUAGUCAUGAUUUCCUCUAAUUAUAAUAAUACAAUUUUUACGGAAUAUUCAUGCUAUACUGAGCAUGACAAUAAUAUAUUAAAAAGUAUGCAUAAAGCAUAUGCUUUAAGAUAUGUGAAGGAGUUAGGAUUGUUAAAUAAUAUAUUUUUUUAACCUGUUACUUCCAUUAUUUCCACUUAAAAUACAUAAAUUGUUAGUAACGGUUUGGAAACCAUUUGUCAUCUUUGUUUUAAGGCAUUCGUGUCUUGCUGAAUGAAUAAACAGCAAAACUAUCCUUUUACUAUUGUCAACUGUUAAAAAUAAGAGACUUUGUACUCUUAUUGACUCUGUAACUGAGGCUCCAACUCAGCGAGACCCUAAAUUCAGUUUCACCACUCUUGCUUUGAGACACAUUCACGGGUGGGCAAGCACUGGGGUGCUGCAUGAAUGUGAAGCACCUGCUUCACCCAGUCCUCUGGGCAGCCCCAGGUGGGCAACCAUGCCAGCAGGGAGGGCUCCCGCAGUGCUUUCCCUGUCACCUUCCCUGGGCUCCUUUUAUAGCUUUGAGGAAUCAUCAAAUUAGGUGCAGACUUGUCCGACAGAUUUAGGAAGCAGACCCUGAGAGUGUCGCUUGUGCUUAGUGGGUUUUCUGGCACGGAGCAGAACAAGGAAAGGCUUCUGGAUCCUGCCCAGGUCUCUGCUGGAGCUUCACAAGCCACAUGGUGCUGCAAAGGAAGCAGAGGCUGCAGACCCUUCCACCGGCACUCACCCGUCAGCAUGAGGUUGUGGCAGCACAUCUAUAUUAAACAGAAAUUGGAACAAAUCCCUUAAAUAGCUCUUCUUCUUUGUAGGGCCGUUGUGCCUGUGUGCCUUUGGGUUCCCAGCUGCUUAGGUGGAGGGAGAAUACCAGUGAGUUUUGCAAAGAGAUACGUUGUUGUAACUGAAAUGCUCGCUUCUAGUUUUGGGCAGCAUUUAAAGGCAAGGGAAGCAGACUGAGCAGGUGUGUUAUCUGAGGUGGGGAGUCUCUCUGCAGAAAACGAGCCAUCCUAGCUCCAUAGGGAUCAUUAGCCGUUUCCUGACAAGCAGAUUUUCCAGUACCUCCCAGCAUCUCACUCCAGCUCUCAUCAGCGCUGCAGCUUUGUCAGGGGCUCUUUUCUACGGCAGUGCGGCGGUAUUUCCCUCUUCUCUUCACCAAAGAAUGGAAAAAUUACUCAGUACGAUAAAACAGGUUUUUACCCACUUUGACUUUUGUAGACUUGUGCAUUACAGUCUGGCUUAGAACAUGAACGUUAUAACCCCCUGGUGAAAUUCUCACUCGCAAAAGGGAUGCAGUCCUGGGAUAGUUGCUCGCCGCAGUUGUCACUGCCUGGCAAAGAGCAAUGCGUGCAGUGCUGCUGCGCUUGGAUGCACUUGCAGAGACAAAGACCGGGUGUCAGCCUCUGCCUGGGAAGUCAGAGACUUGGUGGCUCUUGUGCCGGAGAGAUGAGUUUAAAUAAAAACAGCAUUUCCAACGCAGGCUCUUCAUAAAGAGAUCAGCGUCGUGGCAGCUGAUGACACCACUGCACGCGGGGUUAGCAGUGACACGCUGACACCUUACGAAGAUUUUUCCUCAUUUCCUUAAUUACUGCUAACAUAAGCAGCCAAAUCUGCACCCGUUGUAAUUGUAUUUACGCCAUUAGCUGCUAGUAUUGCCUGGAAAUGUUUGUGGAUGGAAACAGACACUGAGUGUGCGGGCAGGCUGUUUGCUAAAGGCAUUAAUGUACUAAUUAAUGAAGUGCCAAUGCACCUAUUUAGCACUACUUCGCUAACACUGUGUUUAAGCCUAGGCUUCAGAUGUUUGAUGUCGAGGAUGCUGCUAACACCAUGCUGGACUGCCACAUAAAGCUGCAGCGAGCCACUCUGCAUUGCUUUCUUGGUGCAAUGGCUUCGCAUGAGCUGCUACCCUUGGGAGACUGAGAGGCAUUUCCAUAGCACCGGGACGUAAGGAGCAUCUCAUCUUCAAAAAUUUGGAUCCACAUCAUUUUCAUCUGCGCUUUACAAAUUAGUUAGAACAGGUAUUGUGCUGCACAACUGAGUUUAAAUGUCUCUUCCCAUCCUUUUUAGGUCAUUUCAGUCAAAAUUAGCACGGUUUUAUACUGAACUUUUUGAAGAGUAAAAUUGAAAGAGGAAAUAUCUCCGUUUUCCUGAAGGAGUUUCAGGUAAAGGUAUGGCUGCGGAUAAAUAUAGGGAAAAUCCUACAGAAAAUAUUCCAGCUUCCACUGUUUGCACUUUGUUCUGUCUAAAAAGGAAGACAGUUACUGAAAAAGAGAUUUGUCUUUUGCCAGCGCCCCCACAUUUCAGAAUCGAUUGUCAUUGGAAUGAGUUGUAGAAAAAGCAAAAGUUGAGCCGCCUCUCAUUUCGAGAUGCCUGAGCAGAAGUUCCUUGGUGAAGAGAAAGAAUAAAAGUGCCUUUGAAGCCCCAGGCUGAGGGGAAUAAUGGUACCGCGUCGUCUCUAAGGGUCUGCCCCAGAGAUUACGCUUUAAUUUAGGGCAGCUUCGCAGGGCGUACUCCCUCUCAUCUCCCUGGGUACCUCCUUAAAAACACCCAUUUUGCCUCAUUUACUGCCCUCUGCAAAUUGCCAUGUACUCUAUGAGGGCACUUUUCCCCAGCGCAGCCCUGACCUGCGGCAGCAGAAGAGCGCGGUGCGUGCAGCCUGCUUACAAACAGGGAGAAGGGUGCAAGCAGGCUGAGAGUCAGCAGCUGCACAAUUUCUGCUCAUGUUCAAAUGGAAAGCACUUGAUGAAAUACAUAAUUUGCCUGGA
Long non-coding RNA from Gallus gallus (chicken), 4646 nucleotides. RefSeq lists it as uncharacterized. The transcript has 4 exons. Lineage: Eukaryota; Metazoa; Chordata; Aves; Galliformes; Phasianidae. The record is from RefSeq and is a predicted model, not a curated record.